Molecule: ribosomal RNA, 385 nt
Filed under: uncultured bacterium
Lineage: Bacteria
Description: bacterial SSU rRNA
Rfam family: Bacterial small subunit ribosomal RNA
Source: RNAcentral
AUUGAACGCUGGCGGCAGGCUUAACACAUGCAAGUCGAGCGGAGACUUCGGUCUUAGCGGCGAACGGGUGAGGAAUGCCUGGGAAUCUGCCUGUUAGUGGGGGAUAACGUUCCGAAAGGAGCGCUAAUACCGCAUACGUCCUACGGGAGAAAGCAGGGGGACCUUCGGGCCUUGCGCUAACAGAUGAGCCCAGGUCGGAUUAGCUAGUUGGUGGGGUAAAGGCUCACCAAGGCGACGAUCCGUAGCUGGUCUGAGAGGAUGAUCAGCCACACUGGAACUGAGACACGGUCCAGACUCCUACGGGAGGCAGCAGUGGGGAAUAUUGGACAAUGGGCGAAAGCCUGAUCCAGCCAUGCCGCGUGUGUGAAGAAGGCCUUCGGGUUGU